Molecule: unclassified non-coding RNA, 253 nt
Filed under: uncultured cyanobacterium
Lineage: Bacteria; Bacillati; Cyanobacteriota
Description: contains 16S-23S intergenic spacer region
Rfam family: Bacterial small subunit ribosomal RNA
Source: RNAcentral
GACGUAGGGUGCAAGCGUUGUCCGGAAUUAUUGGGCGUAAAGAGUUCGUAGGCGGUUUCUUAAGUCUGGCGUUAAAGCCCGGAGCUCAACUCCGGCAUGGCGUUGGAAACUGGGAGGCUAGAGUGUGGCAGAGGUCACGGGAAUUCCAGGUGUAGCGGUGAAAUGCGUAGAUAUCUGGAGGAACACCGGUGGCGAAAGCGCGUGACUGGGCCAUAACUGACGCUGAGGAACGAAAGCCAGGGGAGCAAAAGGG